This 430-nucleotide ribosomal RNA is filed under the name uncultured bacterium. Its description in RNAcentral is "bacterial SSU rRNA". It matches the Rfam family "Bacterial small subunit ribosomal RNA", at positions 32 to 490 of the family's 1533-position model. The record is from RNAcentral.
AAUCAACGCUGGCGGCGUGCCUAACACAUGCAAGUCGCACGAGAAAGGGACUUCGGUCCUGAGUACAGUGGCGCACGGGUGAGUAACACGUGAAUAAUCUACCUUCGAGUGGGGAAUAACUGAGAGAAAUCUUAGCUAAUACCGCAUAAUACCUACGGGUCAAAGCAGCAAUGCGCUUGAAGAGGAGUUCGCGGCAGAUUAGUUAGUUGGCGGGGUAAUGGCCCACCAAGACGAUGAUCUGUAUCCGGCCUGAGAGGGCGCACGGACACACUGGAACUGAAACACGGUCCAGACUCCUACGGGAGGCAGCAGUGGGGAAUUUUGCGCAAUGGGGGAAACCCUGACGCAGCAACGCCGCGUGGAGGAUGAAAUAUCUUGGUAUGUAAACUCCUUUCGAUCGGGAAGAUAAUGACGGUACCGAGAGAAGAAG